RNAcentral lists this ribosomal RNA (458 nucleotides) under Theileria orientalis. RNAcentral's name for it is "SSU rRNA". It matches the Rfam family "Eukaryotic small subunit ribosomal RNA", at positions 486 to 984 of the family's 1831-position model. The record is from RNAcentral. Lineage: Eukaryota; Apicomplexa; Aconoidasida; Piroplasmida; Theileriidae.
CAGGGCUUUCGUCUUGUAAUUGGAAUGAUGGUGAUGUACAACCUCACCAGAGUACCAAUUGGAGGGCAAGUCUGGUGCCAGCAGCCGCGGUAAUUCCAGCUCCAAUAGCGUAUAUUAAAUUUGUUGCAGUUAAAAAGCUCGUAGUUGAAUUUCUGCUGCAUUACAUUUCUCUUGUUUGAGUUUGUUAUUGUGGCUUAUUUCGGAUUGAUUUUUAUCAUUCCGGAUGAUUACUUUGAGAAAAUUAGAGUGCUCAAAGCAGGCUUUUGCCUUGAAUAGUUUAGCAUGGAAUAAUAGAGUAGGACUUUGGUUCUAUUUUGUUGGUUUUAGGUACCAAAGUAAUGGUUAGUAGGAACAGUUGGGGGCAUUCGUAUUUAACUGUCAGAGGUGAAAUUCUUAGAUUUGUUAAAGACGAACUACUGCGAAAGCAUUUGCCAAGGAUGUUUUCAUUAAUCAAGGAC